Molecule: ribosomal RNA, 301 nt
Filed under: uncultured bacterium
Lineage: Bacteria
Description: partial 16S ribosomal RNA
Rfam family: Bacterial small subunit ribosomal RNA
Source: RNAcentral
CAGCCUCCACGGUAAUACGAAGGGGGCUAGCGUUGUUCGGAAUUACUGGGCGUAAAGCGCACGUAGGCGGACAUUUAAGUCAGGGGUGAAAUCCCGGGGCUCAACCCCGGAACUGCCUUUGAUACUGGGUGUCUAGAGUAUGGAAGAGGUGAGUGGAAUUCCGAGUGUAGAGGUGAAAUUCGUAGAUAUUCGGAGGAACACCAGUGGCGAAGGCGGCUCACUGGUCCAUUACUGACGCUGAGGUGCGAAAGCGUGGGGAGCAAACAGGAUUAGAUACCCCCGUAGUCCCUGUCUCUUAUAC